Non-coding RNA from Salvia hispanica, 356 nucleotides. The record is from RefSeq and is a predicted model, not a curated record. Lineage: Eukaryota; Viridiplantae; Streptophyta; Magnoliopsida; Lamiales; Lamiaceae.
AUCUUCUCCAGCUUCGCUGCCAAAGCAUCGCCUUCCACCAAUGUGUAGCAAUAAGUUAGUGUCUUCUCAUCCAGUUCGUCCACGCGCAAAGUUGAUCUGCUUGAUGCUCCCAGCACCUCCAUCACCUUGUGUGAUCUCAAUGCUUUUGAUGGCCUGCGGCAGGAGCUUCGGGAUCAAGUUGUGAGAAUCAACGAUCGAGGCCUUGAAGAUCCUCAAUGGCGCAAUUGGGGAAGUGUAUUCGUCACAGAAUGUGGUAACACCCAUGAUUCUUCUCUUGACUGAUGAAGGAUUAAGUAGAUUUCUGUUGUGACUUGAUUUGGGAUGAGGAUGAAGAAAGCAUGGGUAUUUAUAUGUGA